AUGUUAGCGGCGGACGGGUGAGUAACACGUGGGUAACCUGCCUGUAAGACUGGGAUAACUCCGGGAAACCGGGGCUAAUACCGGAUGGUUCUUUGAACCGCAUGGUUCAAGGAUGAAAGAUGGUUUCGGCUGCCACUUACAGAUGGACCCGCGGCGCAUUAGCUAGUUGGUGAGGUAACGGCUCACCAAGGCGACGAUGCGUAGCCGACCUGAGAGGGUGAUCGGCCACACUGGGACUGAGACACGGCCCAGACUCCUACGGGAGGCAGCAGUAGGGAAUCUUCCGCAAUGGACGAAAGUCUGACCGAGCAACGCCGCGUGAGUGAUGAAGGUUUUCGGAUCGUAAA
Molecule: ribosomal RNA, 347 nt
Filed under: Bacillus sp. (in: firmicutes)
Lineage: Bacteria; Bacillati; Bacillota; Bacilli; Caryophanales; Bacillaceae
Description: bacterial SSU rRNA
Rfam family: Bacterial small subunit ribosomal RNA
Source: RNAcentral